AGUGAACGCUGGCGGUAGGCCUAACACAUGCAAGUCGAACGGCAGCACAGUAAGAGCUUGCUCUUACGGGUGGCGAGUGGCGGACGGGUGAGGAAUACAUCGGAAUCUACUUUUUCGUGGGGGAUAACGUAGGGAAACUUACGCUAAUACCGCAUACGACCUACGGGUGAAAGCAGGGGAUCUUCGGACCUUGCGCGAUUGAAUGAGCCGAUGUCGGAUUAGCUAGUUGGCGGGGUAAAGGCCCACCAAGGCGACGAUCCGUAGCUGGUCUGAGAGGAUGAGCAGCCACACGGGAAAUGAGACACGGUCCAGACUCCUAGGGGAGGCAGGGGUGGGGAAUUUUGGAAAAGGGGGGCAAGCCUGAUCCAGCCAACCCGCGUGGGGAAAGAAGGCCUUGGGGUUGUAAAGCCCUUUUGUUGGGAAAAAAAAGCAGCAGGUUAAUACCCCGCUGUUCUGACGGUACCAAAAGAAAAAGCAGCGGCUAAUUUGGG
Molecule: ribosomal RNA, 491 nt
Filed under: uncultured bacterium
Lineage: Bacteria
Description: partial 16S ribosomal RNA
Rfam family: Bacterial small subunit ribosomal RNA
Source: RNAcentral